CAGAAAGAACAUAUUUUGAACUGGAUUUUUAAAAGAUUUCUCAUUUGUUUCAUCUUGGGCAACAUUUUUUACCCUGACCCUGAUGUUUUUUUGUUUGUUUGUUUGUUUGUUUGUUUGUUUGUUUGUUUGUUUUUGUCAUUGCUUAGUACAGUCUCCAGGUUCCAUGCACAUCAGUUGCUCAAUGGUUCUUAUUUGCAUCAGAUAUUAUGAUACAGAGCUCCAGUGUGUGCUGCUGGCCUGUGCUGAGGUAAUGGUAGUGGUGGGACCUGCAUGAGGGGUUCACUGUUCAAAUUGGAGAUGAAGCUGGUAAAGUCAGUAGCAUAUAGCUUGGGAGAUUGUUACACAGGAGCAGCUCUAUUCUACAGCACUGAGAGAAGACGCUCCACUUACACAAGUGAUGACUGUGUGGAUAUAGCCAGCGGGAGUUAAAGGGAGUGAUUGAGCGGGUGAGGAAAACACUACUGUCACUCUUUCAAUCAAACUGCCACCUUGACCACUUGGUACAGACCAAUAAACAAGCUUGAUGGAUGGCCAGUCUAUCACAGAGCUAACACAUUGUGGGGGAAACAGGAGUAUCUGGAGGAAACCCAUGCAAACAUAAUGGAGAACAUGCAAAUUCCACACAGAAAAGCCUCCUGGAGUCCCAGACUGUGUGCAAAAGUGUUACAGUCCCCUCACAUUCCCUGUCUCAGCUAUAUACAGAGGGAGACCCACAGGCCUGCAGUAUAGCUAAUCUGACCACAGAAACACCCUUCCUGGACAAAUUAUACUUUAAAGAGGAGUAAAGAAGGGGAAGAAAAGGCGACAAAAAAAAAAAAAAUCAAAAGCAUUAUAAAAUAACAUAAAGGGAAGAUCGGAGGAGACGGGAAAAGGCUGAGACAAGAGAUUAACUGAAAUAACCUGAAACUUAAAAGGGUAAGUUAAUUUUUUGGAUGAACUCAGUAAUAUUGCAGUCUAUGAUUGCAUGUGGAAAGUUCUGGAAAUGAAAGGUAUAGGCCUGAGUGGGACUGAUCAGUGAUGUUAUAUGAGCAAGAGCCAGAAUCACUUGCAUCGCUCAGCACUCUGGCCCAAAAGCGCACAUUCCCACAUCCCAGCGCACCACUUUAAAGAGUGUCCCGGCUGCUCUGGUUCGCCACUCCCUGAGGAAACUGCAACUCUGAAACGGCAAAUAUCAAUACAUUCAUUAUGCACUUUAUAUUUAUACAUUUAUACUCAUGCUUUUAUAUAAUCCUUGUAUUUUGUUGCUAAUAGUAUUUUUAGAGAGGAGUUGCAAGGCCACACUAGACUGGCAGAGAAACUGUAUGUUUGUCAAGUGGGUAUGCAAGACACACACACACA
Pimephales promelas (fathead minnow) is the source of this 1338-nucleotide long non-coding RNA. RefSeq lists it as uncharacterized. NCBI's taxonomy places the organism in Eukaryota, Metazoa, Chordata, Actinopteri, Cypriniformes, Leuciscidae. The record is from RefSeq and is a predicted model, not a curated record.